UUCUUGCAGGCUUGUGUUGCAGCUGCUGGUUGGGGUGGUAUUCCAGCUUGAGCAUUUCUGUUUACAAUCUACACAAUGAACAGAUGUGGUGCAAUUAUGAUGCUAGUAGAGAUGGAAUAUAGCAGCAAAAAAGCUAUUCAAUUCUAACAUUUUUACAUCAUCAACAUCUUUGGUUGAAUGACUUGAGAAAUUUUUAUUGUUUCAUGAUAUGCGUACUUGAGCAUACAUUAUUUGAUUUUAUAUUUAUUGAUUUGUUAGAGACAUGUGAAGCAAAAACAUUAUAUGCUUUUGUGAGUGGAGGUGAGCUGAGAGGUUUAAGAUCUUUGGCCAAAGAGUUAAGAUCUUUGUCGGCAAAAGAUGAGAAAUUCACCGAGUACCAAAAGGUUUUAAUGGAAGAAAACAUGAAAAGUAAGUAAUUGGACAGUUCUCCAUGGCAGUUCCCUCUACUAUACCAAGGAGGGCAGAAUGUUCUAUUUAGCUGGCGUAGAAUAAUCGGUUAGAUAGAACAUGGUGGAAGAGCUGCUGAUUAUCU
Long non-coding RNA from Argentina anserina (silverweed cinquefoil), 532 nucleotides. RefSeq lists it as uncharacterized. The transcript has 3 exons. Lineage: Eukaryota; Viridiplantae; Streptophyta; Magnoliopsida; Rosales; Rosaceae. The record is from RefSeq and is a predicted model, not a curated record.